This 468-nucleotide ribosomal RNA is filed under the name uncultured bacterium. RNAcentral's name for it is "partial 16S ribosomal RNA". It matches the Rfam family "Bacterial small subunit ribosomal RNA", at positions 28 to 507 of the family's 1533-position model. The record is from RNAcentral.
GACGAACGCUGGCGGCGUGCUUAACACAUGCAAGUCGAACGGAAAGGCCCUGCUUUUGUGGGUUGCUCGAGUGGCGAACGGGUGAGUAACACGUGAGUAACCUGCCCUUGACUUUGGGAUAACUUCAGGGAACUGGGGCUAAUACCGGAUAUGAGCUCCUGCUGCAUGUUGUGGGUUGGAAAGUUUCGGCGGUUGGGGAUGGACUCGCGGCUUAUCAGCUUGUUGGUGGGGUAGUGGCUGACCAAGGCUUUGACGGGUAGCCGGCCUGAGAGGGGUACCGGCGACAUGAGGACUGAGAUACGGACCAGAAUGCAAAGGGAGGCAGCAGGGGGGAAUAUGACAGAAUGGGCGGAAGCCUGAUGCAACAACGCCGGGUGCGGGAUGACGGGCUUCGGGUUGUAAACCGAUUUCGAAGGUGACGAAGAGUGAGUGACGGUAAUGGGUAAAGAAGCAACGGCUAACUACGUG